CCCGUGAGUGAUGAAGGUUUUCGGAUCGUAAAACUCUGUUGUCAGGGAAGAACAUGUACCGGACUGACUGCCAGUACCUUGACAGUACCUGACCAGAAAGCCACGGCUAACUACGUGCCAGCAGCCGCGGUAAUACGUAUGUGGCAAGCGUUGUCCGGAAUUAUUGGGCGUAAAGCGCGCGCAGGCGGUUCCUUAAGUCUGAUGUGAAAGCCCCCGGCUCAACCGGGGAGGGUCAUUGGAAACUGGUGAACUUGAGUGCGUAAAAGAAAAGUGGAAUUCCACGUGUAGCGGUGAAAUGCGUAAAGAUGUGGAGGAACACUCGUGGCGAAGGCGACUCUUUGGUCUGUAACUGACGCUGAGGCGCGAAAGCGUGGGGAGCAAACAGGAUUAGAUACCCUGGUAGUCCACGCCGUAAACGAUGAGUGCUUGUGUUAGAGGGUUUCCGCCCUUUAGUGCUGCAGCAAAAGCAUUACACAAUCCGCCUGGGGAGUACGGCCGCAAGGCUGAAACUCAAAGGAAUUGACGGGGGCCCGCACAAACGGUGGAGCAUGUGGUUUAAUUCCCUUGAACGCGAAGAACCUUACCAGGUCUUGACGUCUCCCGACAACCAUAUAGAGAGGGGUGUUCCCUUCGGGGGAUCAGAUGACAGGUGGUGCAUGGGUGUCAUCAGCUCCUGUCAUGAGAUGUCUCGUUCAUUCCUGCAACGAGCGCAACCC
This 716-nucleotide ribosomal RNA is filed under the name Cytobacillus firmus. Its description in RNAcentral is "bacterial SSU rRNA". It matches the Rfam family "Bacterial small subunit ribosomal RNA", at positions 398 to 1104 of the family's 1533-position model. Lineage: Bacteria; Bacillati; Bacillota; Bacilli; Caryophanales; Bacillaceae. The record is from RNAcentral.